GAGGGUUUGGGAGAAUCGAGGAGCCGCCGCCGAGACUUCGUCGAGAACCGAGGGAAGUUGACUUCGUGAAGAAACUUGGCAGAAAUUCGAGAAUCGUCAGAGACAGUAAGCAAAAUUCUGUGGCUCAAAUCUCAUUUUAUGUUGAGGCUAAAAUCACGAAAAAAAAUACCAAGAUGUAGCCCUCAACACGAUCUAGAACUUUGUCGAAGGAACCAUAUCAAUCCGAGCUCAAGAUCAAAAGAUAUGAAAAUUGGAAAACUGCAGAUCGAAAAAGGACAACGGAUUGCAGGAGAGAGAGAAGAAAAAAAAGGAGAGGCGGCGCAGCGGAGCGCGACUCGGCAGGCUGUGACACAUAUUGAGCGUCGGCUGGAGCGACGUAGCUCCAGCAGAACGACGACCAGUGUCACCAGUAGAAACCAGGCUGAACCGCAGCGAACUGAACCGCUGACCGAACCAACCCAACCCACGACUACGUGAAGCAAUCCGCGUGUAGUCGUCGCGCGUGCAGUCUGCGACUGGCAUCCUUUCCCGCACGUGGCUAGCAUGUGAUAGGCGCGUGAAGGCACGUGGGAGUCUCGUUUUUUGUCCGUUUACCUUCUGUUUGUCUCGAUUCCUAUUUCAAUAAUAUUUUUAUGUGAAUAGGGACCAAAUCAAGGAUAAUCAGUAUUUUUGGACACCUUAC
Cucurbita maxima (winter squash) is the source of this 682-nucleotide long non-coding RNA. RefSeq lists it as uncharacterized. The record is from RefSeq and is a predicted model, not a curated record. The transcript has 2 exons. NCBI's taxonomy places the organism in Eukaryota, Viridiplantae, Streptophyta, Magnoliopsida, Cucurbitales, Cucurbitaceae.